This 5589-nucleotide long non-coding RNA is filed under the name Olea europaea subsp. europaea. Lineage: Eukaryota; Viridiplantae; Streptophyta; Magnoliopsida; Lamiales; Oleaceae. The record is from RNAcentral.
AUUAAAUGCUUAAUUUCAUUUUAAAAUAAAAUCAACUACUUCUUUGCCGUUCUUUUCCGUUAGCCAGUAUCAAGACAUAUUGUUCUUUUGUUCGGUUUAAUUAAGACAGAAAAAUCUCUUUGGUUAGAUUUUACAGUUUUUACUUGUAUUGUAUGUGUGCUAAGGAAUAAUUUGUAAUUAUUUCAAAUAACUGGUUUUGUUUCAACAUUCCACGCAAUACUAUGUAAAGUUCGUAUUGUUGGCAUGAUUUGUGUACAGGAGAAUUACGGGAGAAAAUUGAGGCAAAUUCCUACAUUAUGGGGCCAACAGAUCAAUCAAGAGGCAAAAUUAUCUUUAAAUUAUAUCAAGAUAUGUGUAUACCAAAAUAAGAGGAAUAUUCAUUGUGUUUAUAUACCGUUGUCACUAUAAAGAAAUUCAAGAAAAUAAAAUCUGAUUUUCUUCUCCAAAAUAACAUGGAAUCAGAGCAGCUGUUACUUUACCCUCUAUAACCUUGAAACCAGAACCCAACAACGCAGAGACAGGAACUUUUCACCGUGGCUGAUGCAGACCCACAUUUGGAAGAAUCUUCUGCAUCUUCUAUUUUGUUCGAACUCACUGAAAAAAUGGUUGAGGUUGUCCAAAACAUCAGCCCCGACUCUGACUACCGACAUGUCCACUCCACCAAUCGGAAUUAAGCUAGAUGGGACCAAUUACACAAUGUGGUCUCAAGUGGUGGAAAUGUACAUAGCCAGCAAAGAUAAAUUGGGGUAUAUCAAUGGUGAUCUUCCCCAACCUCCAUCGACAGACCCAACUUUUUGCAAAUGGCGCACCGACAACGCCAUAGUGAAGGUUGGUUGAUCAAUUCCAUGGAUCCAUCAUUGAUUGGAAACUUCAUUAGAUUUCCAACGGCAAAAAUGGUGUGGGACGCCAUUGCAACAACCUACUUCGAUGGGAGCAAUGCCUCCCAAGUAUAUGACCUCCGUUGCUGAGUAACACGCUUAAAACAAGCUGGUAACUCACUGGAAAAAUACUAGAACAACCUGCAGGGACUAUAGAGAGAAAUUGACUUUCGAAGGCCGAAUCUAAUGCAGUGCCAGACCGAUAUUUAGAAAUAUAACAGCAUGUUACAAGAAGAUCGUGUAUAUACCUUCCAGGAUGGCCUAGAUGAUAAGCUAGAUGGUGCUCAAAGAGAUAUUUUGCAAAUGAAACGUUUCCCCACCGUGGAGCAAGCAUACGCCCAUGUCCAACAAGAGGCGGUAUGACAAGCAGUAAUGACAAAGGCCACAAACGAGGAACCACCAGGUGCUGUGAUGGCAUCCAAAAGCUUGAAGAUAGGAGCGCCUACACCAAAGGUCUCUAAAAAUGGAAAGAUGAAUUCCACUUCUAAAUUGAAGACUGUAUCCAACGAGGAGAAAUGAUCUUAUUGUGGAGGACCUAAACACACUCGGGAGACAUGUUUCAAGCUCAAUGGCUAUCCUGAAUGGUGGCUUAAAUUACAGGCAAAGAAAAAAAACGUGAUAAUGGCAUGGGUGCUUUGGUGGGCCAAGCUUCAGUUGCUGCAAAUGACUCGACUCUCUCCAAUUCCAGCCGAAGCCCAUAAUGUCACUACAUAGGAGAGCUACAAUGAUGCCAUCACAGGUACCAUUCUGCUUGGGUCCAACAUGGAUGAUGCUUAUACCGAGUGGAUACUUGACUCGGGAGCUUUCAACCAAAUAACUUAUGAUGAAAGGGAUUUCUCCCAAUGGUCUACACCCCGGAGAAUGAGCAUUGCAAAUGCUAAUGGAAAAGUUUGCUCGAUAAUCGAGGCGGGUACUGUGGUGUUGUCACGGGACCUAUCUCUAUCCAAUACAUUACUCGUCCCUUCUCUUUCCCAUAAAUUAUUAUCUGUGAGCCAGAUUACCAAGGAAUUAAAAUGUGUUGCGACUAUUUAUCCUAAUGUUUGUUUCUUCAGGAUAUUCUCACCCAGAAGAUCAUUGGGAGUGGUAUUGAGAAGGGGGGACUCUACUAUAUAGAGAAUUUGAAGGUGAGACAUGCAUGUCAGAUACCCAUCAGAAUAAAUCGAAGAAGGAGCAAAUUUGGCUUUGGCACCGCCGGUUAGGUCAUCCUUCAUUCAGUUAUUUAAAGUAUGUAUUUCCUAGUUUAUUUUCGGAUGUAUCAAGUUCAGAAUAUAAAUGCGAGACAUGCAUUCUAGAUAAAAGCCAUCAGACUAAUUAUCCUUUGAUUUUAAAUAAAAGUAUGGUUCCUUUUACAUUGAUUCAUUUUGAUGUGUGGGGCCCGUCCCCGAAACCUACUAUGCUUGGCUAUCGGUGGUUUGUAAUAUUUGUCGAUGACUGUAAUAGAAUGACAUGGUUGUAUUUUUUAAGACAUAAAUAUGAAGUAUUUGAUAUAUUUCGAUCCUUUUAUGAGAUGAUUUGCAACCAAUACUAUGUCAAACUCAAGGUUCUUUGCUUCGAUAAUGGUGGCGAAAAUGUGAAUACUCAGUUCCAUGAUUUUUUGCGCCACCAUGGAAUAAUUUAUGAGACAUCAUGUCCCCAGACCCCAUAGCAAAACGGGGUUGUCGAGCAGAAAAAUCGCCACAUCCUUGAGACUGCACGAGCCCUUCUUCUUCGAGCUAAUAUGCCCAUCCAUUAUUGGGCAGAUGUAGUCACAACGGCCAUUCAUGUUAUUAACAUAAUGCCAUCAAAAGUCCUUAAAAUGCAGACUCCUCUCCAAGCACUAUCCACUUUCGUCACCUUGCCUCGGUCCUGAUAAUUCUACCACGUGUCUUUGGAUGUGUUGCCUUUGUUCACCUCCACAAGGAUCAACGCACUAAAAUCGGUCCUCAUGCAAUUCGGUGUCUUUUCUUGGGCUACGACGUACAUCAAAAAGGGAAUAGAUGCUACAAUCGCAUUCAUCGGUGAACAUAUGUGUCAAUGGAUGUUACAUUUCUAGAAUCUAAGACUUUCUUUACGUCCAAAGCAUCCAAUUUUCCUCUUCAAGGGGAGAAUCAUGAGAAACAUGAUGAAGAGAUAAACUGGCUGCGAUUUGAUUGGUCAGGGUUUAAUGACCCGGAUAUAUCUCCACUAAUGGAAAUUGAAGGCACUAUUGAGAUUGAGACGACCCCUCCCGUAGAUCACCCUCAUUCCUUAACACCCAAUGACACUUCUCCUGAGAAUAUCAUUGAGGUAAACUCUCCUAGCUCUCCAAUUACACCUCAAAUUUCUAAUACCAUAAAUACCCUUGCUCCUGUUGGCUAUAAGUUACCUUUCAAGCAUAAUUGUGGUAAGCCACCAAAUCGAUACUCUCUUGAGGUGGAAGAACAACGGUUAAAAUAUCCUUUUCACCAGUUGCUAAACUUAACACAGUUAGAGUCCUUUUAUCAAUUACUGCAAAUCUUGAUUGGCCAUUACAUCAACUUGAUGCGAAGAAUGCAUUCCUUUAUGGGGACCUUGAAGAAGAAAUUUACAUGGACAUUCCUCACGGAUAUAUGACGAGUUCUAAAGCAAAUUUCAUUUGCAAAUUGCAGAAAACUCUAUAUGGCUUGAAACAAUCUCCUCGAGCUUGGUUCGGGAAACUGAGUUUGGCAAUGAAGAAAUAUGGCUUUCAACAAAGCAACUCUGAUCACACUCUAUUUCUAAAACGCAUACAGGGUAAAAGUACAACACUAAUUGUCUAUUUUGACGAUAUGAUCAUUACAGGAGAUGAUGCAGACGAGAUUGCAAGACUUCAAAAUCAGUUAUCGUCAGAGUUUGAAAUGAAGAACUUAGGAGGGCUCAAGUACUUCUUGGGAAUCAAAGUUGCUAGAUCUAAUCGUGGGAUAUUCCUUUCUCAGUAAAAAUAUGUACUUGACUAGCUGAAGUUAGGUUACUAGAUUGCAAGCCAGCUGAUGUACCAAUAAUCCAGACUCACUGACUUGGGGAAUAUUCGGACCAAGUUCCAACAAACAAAGAUAGAUAUCAGAGACUAGUUGGUAAACUGAUUUAUUUGUCACAUACUCGACCUGACAUUGCCUAUGCAGUAAGGUUGGUGAGCCAAUACACGCACUGUCCAAGUGAAGAUCAUAUGAAUGAUGCAAUGCAAGUUCUCCGAUACUUGAAGCCGUCCCCUAGAAGUGGACUUCUAUUUUCAAAAAAUGAUCAUCUAAAUGUUGAAGGCUAUACAGAUGCAGACUGGGCAGGAAACAUAUCAAAUAGGAAAUCUACUCUAGGCUAUUUCACAUUUGUUGGAGUGAACCUAGUUACCUAGAGGAGUAAGAAACAGAAGGUAGUAUCGUUAUCAAGUGCAGAAGCAGAAUUCCAAGGAAUGGCGAAAGGACUUUGCGAGCUUCUUUAGCUUAAGAAACUUUUAUCUGAGACUGGGUUUGCUCCUAAGUGCAAGAUGAAUCUAUUUUGUGACAAUAAGGCGGCGAUUGACAUUUCACAUAAUCCAGUCCAGCAUGAUCGGACCAAGCAUAUAGAAGUUGAUCGGCAUUUUAUCAAGCAGAAUCUCGAAGUUAUGACAAUUCGCCUUCCUUUUGUGAAGUCCGAAGACCAGUUAGCAGAUAUCCUAACAAAGGCUGUAUGUACUAGGAGAGUUCACAACUCACUUGGCAAUUUGGGCAUGAUAGACAUCUACACACCAACUUGAGGGGAAGUGUUGGCAUGAGUUAUCUGAAGAAAAAUUACAGAAGCAAAUUAAGGAGGCAAAUUUCUACAUUAUGGGGCCAACAGAUCAAUCAAGAGGCAAAAUUAUCUUUAAAUUAUAGCAAGAUAUAUGUAUACCAAAAUAGGAGGAAUAUUCAUUGUGUUUAUAUACCGUUGUCACUUUAAAGAAAUUCAAGAAAAUAAAAUUUGAUUAUCUUCUCCUAAAUAACACGUACUACAACUCUUAAAGCCAUACCAAAUCCUUGGGUCUUGACCAGAAUGUGUGCCUUCAUCUUCCCUUAGGAAAAUGUUGAGGACGUUCAUUAUCCUUCUCUAAGAGUUAAAUUUCAACUUUGGGACUUUGAUGGUCUCGGUCCCGAACUUUUUUUUGUUAUCUCGAUGAUCUUGAAAAGCUUUUUAACUUUCACAACAUGAAUGAGUCUUUCGUAUAUAUGAUGCUAAUAUGUCACUUGUUGGAUCUAAUAAAUGUUGUUGGAAGUCAUUUUUGUGUAAUAUUAGUCAUAGUCGAACGUGCGUUACACGUUAUUCUGAAAUGUUUUAUAGAUGCUAUAAAAAUAAUAUUUGAAAAAUGUGAGAAUAUAAAAAAAAAUUAAUAAAAGUGUUCAUGUGGAAAUGUGGAAUGAACUUUUGAUUAAAAUGAAAUAAAAAUUAGUUUUUGAAAACAAUUUAAAUAGUUGAUAAAGUCAAUUAGAAUACUCCCUCUAUUUACCCAUUUGAUCUGAACUUAACAUUAAACGAAUACUAUCAUUUCUUCAUAUUCGUUAAAUAUCUAUUGAAUAUAUUAAUUGAAAUUAUUUAUUAUAGAUAUGCACUAUGUUCCCACAUUUACUUUAUUCGUAUCUUAACAUUCAUUGAAUAAAUCAAUUAGAAGAAAACUCUAGAAAUAUACAUCUUUUGUUCCAAUUUUUUAAUGAAAUUAAUUUACUAUCCAAUCAAAUAAUAUAAAUAUGUCAAAUGUACUUUGAUCCUAACUAAAUAAUUGAUAAAA